AACGAACGCUGGCGGCAUGCCUAACACAUGCAAGUCGAACGAGACCUUCGGGUCUAGUGGCGCACGGGUGCGUAACGCGUGGGAACCUGCCCUUAGGUUCGGAAUAACUCCCCGAAAGGGGUGCUAAUACCGGAUAAUGUCUUCGGACCAAAGAUUUAUCGCCUUUGGAUGGGCCCGCGUUGGAUUAGCUAGUUGGUAGGGUAAAAGCCUACUAAGGCGACGAUCCAUAGCUGGUCUGAGAGGAUGAUCAGCCACACUGGGACUGAGACACGGCCCAGACUCCUACGGGAGGCAGCAGUGGGGAAUAUUGGACAAUGGGCGAAAGCCUGAUCCAGCAAUGCCGCGUGAGUGAUGAAGGCCUUAGGGUUGUAAAGCUCUUUUACCCGGGAUGAUAAUGACAGUACCGGGAGAAUAAGCGCCGGCUAACUCCGUG
This 433-nucleotide ribosomal RNA is filed under the name uncultured bacterium. RNAcentral describes it as "partial 16S ribosomal RNA". It matches the Rfam family "Bacterial small subunit ribosomal RNA", at positions 29 to 507 of the family's 1533-position model. The record is from RNAcentral.